This 27-nucleotide small RNA is filed under the name Bombyx mori (domestic silkworm). RNAcentral describes it as "ovarian small RNA-31978". The record is from RNAcentral. Lineage: Eukaryota; Metazoa; Arthropoda; Insecta; Lepidoptera; Bombycidae.
UGACUGCUGAUUGGUGACUGAAGUCCG